UGGGUGAUCUGCCCUGCACUUCGGGAUAAGCCUGGGAAACUGGGUCUAAUACCGGAUAUACCUCAUUGAUCUCCUGGUUGGUGGUGGAAAGCUCCGGCGGAGAAGGAUGAGCUCGCGGCCUAUCAGCUUGUUGGUGAGGUAAUGGCUCACCAAGGCAUUGACGGGUAGCCGGCCUGAGAGGGUGACCGGCCACACGUGGGACUGAGACACGGCCCAGACCUCCGUAGGGA
Molecule: ribosomal RNA, 230 nt
Filed under: uncultured bacterium
Lineage: Bacteria
Description: partial 16S ribosomal RNA
Rfam family: Bacterial small subunit ribosomal RNA
Source: RNAcentral